This 256-nucleotide ribosomal RNA is filed under the name uncultured bacterium. RNAcentral's name for it is "partial 16S ribosomal RNA". It matches the Rfam family "Bacterial small subunit ribosomal RNA", at positions 96 to 353 of the family's 1533-position model. The record is from RNAcentral.
UGGCGGACGGGUGAGUAAUGUCUGGGAAACUGCCUGAUGGAGGGGGAUAACUACUGGAAACGGUAGUUAAUACCGCAUAAUGUCGCAAGACCAAAGAGGGGGACCUUCGGGCCUCUUGCCAUCGGAUGUGCCCAGAUGGGAUUAGCUAGUAGGUGGGGUAACGGCUCACCUAGGCGACGAUCCCUAGCUGGUCUGAGAGGAUGACCAGCCACACUGGAACUGAGACACGGUCCAGACUCCUACGGGAGGCAGCAUG